CUGCCCAUCUUAAUAAGUGAACGGAGUGGGGCUAGGUCAUACUCUUAGGGGGCUGUCCGGUAUAAACCAGCAAGACCCAAGCUAUAGGGUUUUCUUUUCUUAUUAAUGCUUAGUAUAAUGUUUUGCUACCUACUCUCAAUCAGCUACUAUAUAGCCUGUUGUUUCAUAGUGUCUAGCAUGUCUUUUUUAUUUUCUACUAAUAGUUACUCAUAUUAUCGGGGGCCAUUUCACCAUAGCGGUUUAAAGAUAGUCAUCUCUAGAGUAAGAGACAUAACCCAUUACGCCGUGUAUAUACCUUUAAAAAUAAAUGCAGGUUGGGGCGGGGCCUGACCACAGGACUGAGAGGAUGCAAGUCUCAGCAGCUCCUGCUACUCAAAGCGGAAAAAUACUAAUAAAGCUACAGAAACUACACUAAAAAGCUAAACAAAGGCCACCAAGUGAAAGGGAAAACUGGGACAAACUCAAAGAUACCAAAUAAGUGACAUUUAACCCGGUCCUUACCAG
Pelobates cultripes (western spadefoot toad) is the source of this 504-nucleotide non-coding RNA. Lineage: Eukaryota; Metazoa; Chordata; Amphibia; Anura; Pelobatidae. The record is from the annotation of a GenBank genome assembly.